ACGCUGGCGGCAUGCCUUACACAUGCAAGNCGAACGGCAGCACGGGAGCAAUCCUGGUGGCGAGNGGCGAACGGGNGAGNAAUAUAUCGGAACGUGCCCAGUCGUGGGGGAUAACGCAGCGAAAGCUGUGCUAAUACCGCAUACGAUCUACGGAUGAAAGCGGGGGAUCGCAAGACCUCGCGCGAUUGGAGCGGCCGAUAUCAGAUUAGCUAGUUGGUGAGGUAAAGGCUCACCAAGGCGACGAUCUGUAGCUGGUCUGAGAGGACGACCAGCCACACUGGAACUGAGACACGGUCCAGACUCCUACGGGAGGCAGCAGUGGGGAAUUUUGGACAAUGGGCGCAAGCCUGAUCCAGCAAUGCCGCGUGCAGGAUGAAGGCCUUCGGGUUGUAAACUGCUUUUGUACGGAGCGAAAAGGCUUCUCCUAAUACGGGGGGCUCAUGACGGUACCGUAAGAAUAAGCACCGGCUAACUACGUGCCAGCAGCCGCGGUAAUAC
Molecule: ribosomal RNA, 498 nt
Filed under: Rhodoferax fermentans
Lineage: Bacteria; Pseudomonadati; Pseudomonadota; Betaproteobacteria; Burkholderiales; Comamonadaceae
Description: bacterial SSU rRNA
Rfam family: Bacterial small subunit ribosomal RNA
Source: RNAcentral